This is a non-coding RNA of Stegodyphus mimosarum, 73 nucleotides long. The record is from Rfam. NCBI's taxonomy places the organism in Eukaryota, Metazoa, Arthropoda, Arachnida, Araneae, Eresidae.
GGCCUCGUGGUCUAAUAGAUAAGGCAUCGGUCUCCUAAACCGGGGAUUGCAGGUUCAAGUCCCGCCGGGGGUU